CUAGUAUACGCACCUCUCUAUAAAUUUUUGCAUGUAACAAUGAACUAAUGCAACACUAAGCUAAGUUCAUAACAAAUAAUUUUAGCUUAUUCUUUCUUUUGAUCAAACAAUGACUUAUGUUAAACUUGUUACUUUGGCUGUCUUCAUGCUCACCAUAUUUUUAAUCAUUCAGACGAAGAACGUUGAAGCAGCUGGGCAAUGUCCAUCCGUCGGUAGCAUGAUAGAUAUGUCUCAAAAACUAAAAACCAACCAUGCAUGUUAUCCUCCUUAAAAAAAACAAAAAAAAACCAUGCAUUUUAUCAUGCAUCUACUUUAAAUAAAACAACUUUUGUUUUCAAUUGAUCAAUUGUAUUUCUUCGAUAUCCGUCUGGAUUUUAAUAGAUGAUGCACGCUAUAAUUUGAA
Molecule: long non-coding RNA, 403 nt
Organism: Medicago truncatula (barrel medic)
Lineage: Eukaryota; Viridiplantae; Streptophyta; Magnoliopsida; Fabales; Fabaceae
Exons: 2
Source: RefSeq, a predicted model, not a curated record